RNAcentral lists this ribosomal RNA (263 nucleotides) under Paenibacillus sp. P3E. RNAcentral's name for it is "partial 16S ribosomal RNA". It matches the Rfam family "Bacterial small subunit ribosomal RNA", at positions 1 to 260 of the family's 1533-position model. The record is from RNAcentral. Lineage: Bacteria; Bacillati; Bacillota; Bacilli; Caryophanales; Paenibacillaceae.
UUUGGAGAGUUUGAUCCUGGCUCAGGACGAACGCUGGCGGCGUGCCUAAUACAUGCAAGUCGAGCGGAGCUUAUCCUUCGGGAUAAGCUUAGCGGCGGACGGGUGAGUAACACGUAGGCAACCUACCCUCUAGACUGGGAUAACUACCGGAAACGGUAGCUAAUACCGGAUAAUUCCUUCACCCUCCUGGGCGAGGGAUGAAAGGCGGAGCAAUCUGCUACUAGAGGAUGGGCCUGCGGCGCAUUAGCUAGUUGGUGGGGUAA